Molecule: ribosomal RNA, 430 nt
Filed under: Pseudomonadota bacterium
Lineage: Bacteria; Pseudomonadati; Pseudomonadota
Description: Proteobacteria bacterium partial 16S ribosomal RNA
Rfam family: Bacterial small subunit ribosomal RNA
Source: RNAcentral
UGGGGAAUAUUGGACAAUGGGGGGAACCCUGAUCCAGCCAUGCCGCGUGUGUGAAGAAGGCCUUAUGGUUGUAAAGCACUUUAAGCGAGGAGGAGGGUACUGGUAUUAAUACUACCAGGUACUGGACGUUACUCGCAGAAUAAGCACCGGCUAACUCUGUGCCAGCAGCCGCGGUAAUACAGAGGGUGCGAGCGUUAAUCGGAUUUACUGGGCGUAAAGCGUGCGUAGGCGGCUAAUUAAGUCAAAUGUGAAAUCCCCGAGCUUAACUUGGGAAUUGCAUUCGAUACUGGUUAGCUAGAGUGUGGGAGAGGAUGGUAGAAUUCCAGGUGUAGCGGUGAAAUGCGUAGAGAUCUGGAGGAAUACCGAUGGCGAAGGCAGCCAUCUGGCCUAACACUGACGCUGAGGUGCGAAAGCAUGGGGAGCAAACAGG